Long non-coding RNA from Sparus aurata (gilthead seabream), 3063 nucleotides. NCBI's taxonomy places the organism in Eukaryota, Metazoa, Chordata, Actinopteri, Spariformes, Sparidae. The record is from Ensembl.
AUGGCGAGUAUGGCUGAGGGUUUCGGCAGGGAAUUGGGUGCAGAAAACAGGCCCUUGUAUGGUGAAAUCAUGCAGACCCUCAUUCCUUCGGCCUUACGGAAGACUAUUUUGGGGCAUUUUGAACUCUCCCACGCAAGCACAACAAUUUUGGGACGCCUGCGGAACGGCACUGUCUUUGACGUACUGUUAAACCCAACGCCGAUCUGUGACCAAAGAAGAGGCCAGAAUAACAUCAGGCUUCCAGAAGACCACAAAAGGAGAGAUAAGAUUGUACUGAGGGACAGCAGUGAAAGAAACGAUGAAGCAUUGAGAUUCAUGCUGGAGCGAAGACAGCUUUGAUCUGAGGAUCAUCCUCCCUUUUCCUGUCUCGUCGUUUGGAUGACUGACAGUGAAUUCUUCCUGAGUACGAUUUAUUUCAUUCAGAAAAUCCCAUUUUCUCAUGCUGGCUUCUUUUUCCUCUCCUCACAUGCACUCACUAGCAGUCUCAUUAACUCAUUUAUUUCAUUGGCUUGAGACAACAAAGCAGCACUGCAGCUUUGGAAUGUUAAAGAAAAAAAAAAACAGUACAACUGCCCAGUCUUCUAGAGAAGUUUUGUCCAUUUUCCUAGAAUCCCCCAGUUGGAUGCAGUAGCAGCAGCUGUCACUGUCGCUCUCUCUAGCCUGGCGCAAAACAGCAUUGUACUUUUAAUGGGUGAUUAGUGUCAGAUAUCUGGCUAUUGCUGCCUGAGCCUCAACUGUGGGAAAUAGUUAUGCAUCCUGCACCUGACUGGCUCAGUUUAGAGUUUCCUGCUAUCUAAGGAGGAACACAGGGAUCUAGCACACACAAAACCCGACUUAGGAGAUCGACUCUACUAAAUGGUAUUUCAUGAAGAUAAGCACAGCUCUGCCACUCAGCAAGAGCCUCUCAAACCUUUACUGGGCCAAGGGGCAUAGUACAGAAGUUCACCCAGGCAUUUUGCAGCCCAGAAAUUCCCAUUUUCUUUAUGACAGUUUGGCUGGCCUUCUUUUGGAAACUGAAAAGUCUUGCUGAGAGUUAUUGUGCACAUUCAUUUGGGUCAAGUGAGGUGAAUUCCUUGGCCUGGUGGUAUGAAUUAAUAGCAAAUGUUCACAAUGUACAAAACCUAGAGCCUCAAAUUGAACUGGGACACUUUGAUGCCCAGUCUGUUGAUAAUAAAGAACAUAGAAAGGAUCAUUGUACACAGUCAAAUUAUUGUUGCAUUUUUGGCAACAAACAGGCAUCGGGGAAACUAUCAUUAUAUUUUCCAGCACUGUAAAAAUGCUCCUUUUCAAACAAUAUCUCCCUUUGUUUUCUUAAAAGGCUCAAUAUUUAGAGGAGGUUGCUGUCUAAAGGAAACAAUUGCACGAAUAUCCUGCUUCCACUUAUCACAGUAUCAUAUUUACUGGAUUUGGCUUCUCCCUUUAUGCAUUUCGCAAGGACUUGCAAACUCCGUCCUCCAGUGAAUCCCCUGCAGCAGUGGGCUGACUCAAUCGGCAGUAUGAUGUGGAUUGUGAGGAACAGCUCUGAAAAAGCAUUGCCACAUAAUCGCCUGCAUGUGGCACAUCAUGCAACUGUUUGGAGAACGCUGAAAACAAACAGAGACACAGACAUUAACAUUUGGUUAUACAGCGAAGAAAAAGCACAUGAACUUUGUUUAAUUUGCCUCUUCGUCUCUCUCAGCUUGCAGGCAACGUCUUUGUCUCCCGCUCUCUCUGGCUGUACUGGCACGGCAGCAUGUGAAUGAUGCCCCUCACAGCAGCUCAGAGCGGUGGGUAGACGGCUGUCUGUGUGACGGCUGCGGUGUCCUCUCUAAGACAAAGGGAACUUGGCAGGCUGCUGGGCUGCGGCUGGAUCAAACAGGCCUUGUUUAUUGGACCUCUCCUUCUUUGCUCUGCGCUCAUCAGAGGCUGUGUGUGAGACUGCAGUCUGAAGUGUCUCAGAGAUCUGCUCACUCCUCGAAGACGGGAACCACUCAGACCACACACAGGGCCGCUUCGAGCACCACAAAGGAGGACCGGGGAAGACGCUGACACACUCACCGUGCAUAUGCUCUCUUUAUGACUUCUACGGUUUAUAUCUGUAUUGAUUUAAAAAGAAAAUGUCCUUCCCCUGCUCUUCACAUUUGCUUCAGUUUUUGCUCAUGGGGUUUCAUUGUCUCGUUUUUUUUUCUUCUCUCUCUUACUCGGCUUCUCUCACCAGCCCCCUGCCUUACCUUCUCUGUGUCCCUACACUCACUCUGAGAACAAUGUCCUUGCUCCUGCUCUGUGUUUUUCCAUGGUGCUAGCGCUGGAAUGCGUGCCUGUUAAAGGUGAUAUAUAUUUGCUAUCGGCGGAGAGAGAGAGAAGGCCUUCAUUACUGCGUGAUACAGAUAGAAGGGGAAAGGUUGAACAGCAGUUCCCAGAAGCACUAUUUAACAGCCUUGCCUCUGGGUGCAGGGGCACCAUUGGAUGUUUCAUACAGUGAAGACUCCCGAUGGUUAAUCUUACAACAGCAUGACAGCAGAAGGCGGUGGGAAGUAUGCAGGAGAGUGUGGUGGUGGUUUUAAGAGAGUGAGUAUGAUAAGUGAGAGAUAGUGAUCAGCCUGACAAGUUUAAGUGGAAGACGUGGACGGACGAUCACGUAUGAACAGGUUACUGUCUUAUCCUACAUCUACCGUUGGGUUCCCAGAGACUCUUCAGCUCUCGAGGCUGACACACGCACAGGACAGAAGAUUUAAGAUUAAAGUUACGACUCCAGGGAAGAAGCGAAGAGGAGAGCAGAGUGUUUUCCCUAUGUGCGCCCCUCUUUCCUCUAAAUGUUAUGUGUUUGACUGACAGACAGUUCUUAUUCUCCCACAUCCUCCUAUCGCUGGCCUUGAUUCCCACGCUGAGCACCAAUACUGAUGGGAAAGAUUCAAGAAACAGGGACACUCUAAAAAUUCCAGGAUUCUUGCGGUGUGUACACAUUUGUCACACAGGAAAAUGGCACACUGCAAAAAAUGUCCAAUUUCAGUCAUAAAAUGAGUCAAUAAAAAUUAGCAGAGGAGCUUUAAAGCACUGAAAAAGAUGUACAACAAUACCUUUGUU